AACGAACGCUGGCGGCAUGCCUAACACAUGCAAGUCGAACGAGACCUUCGGGUCUAGUGGCGCACGGGUGCGUAACGCGUGGGAACCUGCCCUUAGGUUCGGAAUAACUCCCCGAAAGGGGUGCUAAUACCGGAUAAUGUCUUCGGACCAAAGAUUUAUCGCCUUUGGAUGGGCCCGCGUUGGAUUAGCUAGUUGGUAGGGUAAAAGCCUACCAAGGCGACGAUCCAUAGCUGGUCUGAGAGGAUGAUCAGCCACACUGGGACUGAGACACGGCCCAGACUCCUACGGGAGGCAGCGGGGGGGAAUAUUGGACAAUGGGCGAAAGCCUGAGCCAGCAAGGCCGCGUGAGUGAUGAAGGCCUUGGGGUUGUAAAUCUCUUUUAACCGGGAUGAUAAUGACAGUACCGGGAGAAUAAGCCCCGGCUAACUCCGUG
RNAcentral lists this ribosomal RNA (433 nucleotides) under uncultured bacterium. RNAcentral describes it as "partial 16S ribosomal RNA". It matches the Rfam family "Bacterial small subunit ribosomal RNA", at positions 29 to 507 of the family's 1533-position model. The record is from RNAcentral.